AUGUUAGCGGCGGACGGGUGAGUAACACGUGGAUAACCUACCUAUAAGACUGGGAUAACUUCGGGAAACCGGAGCUAAUACCGGAUAAUAUUUUGAACCGCAUGGUUCAAAAGUGAAAGACGGUCUUGCUGUCACUUAUAGAUGGAUCCGCGCUGCAUUAGCUAGUUGGUAAGGUAACGGCUUACCAAGGCAACGAUGCAUAGCCGACCUGAGAGGGUGAUCGGCCACACUGGAACUGAGACACGGUCCAGACUCCUACGGGAGGCAGCAGUAGGGAAUCUUCCGCAAUGGGCGAAAGCCUGACGGAGCAACGCCGCGUGAGUGAUGAAGGUCUUCGGAUCGUAAAACUCUGUUAUUAGGGAAGAACAUAUGUGUAAGUAACUGUGCACAUCUUGACGGUACCUAAUCAGAAAGCCACGGCUAACUACGUGCCAGCAGCCGCGGUAAUACGUAGGUGGCAAGCGUUAUCCGGAAUUAUUGGGCGUAAAGCGCGCGUAGGCGGUUUUUUAAGUCUGAUGUGAAAGCCCACGGCUCAACCGUGGAGGGUCAUUGGAAACUGGAAAACUUGAGUGCAGAAGAGGAAAGUGGAAUUCCAUGUGUAGCGGUGAAAUGCGCAGAGAUAUGGAGGAACACCAGUGGCGAAGGCGACUUUCUGGUCUGUAACUGACGCUGAUGUGCGAAAGCGUGGGGAUCAAACAGGAUUAGAUACCCUGGUAGUCCACGCCGUAAACGAUGAGUGCUAAGUGUUAGGGGGUUUCCGCCCCUUAGUGCUGCAGCUAACGCAUUAAGCACUCCGCCUGGGGAGUACGACCGCAAGGUUGAAACUCAAAGGAAUUGACGGGGACCCGCACAAGCGGUGGAGCAUGUGGUUUAAUUCGAAGCAACGCGAAGAACCUUACCAAAUCUUGACAUCCUUUGACAACUCUAGAGAUAGAGCCUUCCCCUUCGGGGGACAAAGUGACAGGUGGUGCAUGGUUGUCGUCAGCUCGUGUCGUGAGAUGUUGGGUUAAGUCCCGCAACGAGCGCAACCCUUAAGCUUAGUUGCCAUCAUUAAGUUGGGCACUCUAAGUUGACUGCCGGUGACAAACCGGAGGAAGGUGGGGAUGACGUCAAAUCAUCAUGCCCCUUAUGAUUUGGGCUACACACGUGCUACAAUGGACAAUACAAAGGGCAGCGAAACCGCGAGGUCAAGCAAAUCCCAUAAAGUUGUUCUCAGUUCGGAUUGUAGUCUGCAACUCGACUACAUGAAGCUGGAAUCGCUAGUAAUCGUAGAUCAGCAUGCUACGGUGAAUACGUUCCCGGGUCUUGUACACACCGCCCGUCACACCACGAGAGUUUGUAACACCCGAAGCCGGUGGAGUAACCUUUUAGGAGCUAGCCGUCGAAGGUGGGACAAAUGAUUGGGGUGAAGUCGUAACAAGGUAGCCGUAUCGGAAGGUGCGGCUGGAUCACCUCCUU
RNAcentral lists this ribosomal RNA (1458 nucleotides) under Staphylococcus aureus. Its description in RNAcentral is "bacterial SSU rRNA". It matches the Rfam family "Bacterial small subunit ribosomal RNA". The record is from RNAcentral. Lineage: Bacteria; Bacillati; Bacillota; Bacilli; Caryophanales; Staphylococcaceae.